Molecule: long non-coding RNA, 1217 nt
Filed under: Monodelphis domestica (gray short-tailed opossum)
Lineage: Eukaryota; Metazoa; Chordata; Mammalia; Didelphimorphia; Didelphidae
Description: lncRNA (ENSMODG00000043655.1)
Source: RNAcentral
NNNNNNNUCAGCCGGGACCAGUCCCAAGUGGGGGAGACGCCUCGAGCCCCUUUAUUUUCGGGUAGGUGGACACCCUCUUUCCAUUCAUGCAUCUCCGAGUCACGGCAGGUGGUUGUCCUGAGCAGCCGAUAGACCAUGCCGGCUGUCCUGGAGGGUGGGCAGAGAAUGCCAACUCCCCCGGGUUCUGGGUGAGGCCAGGGUGGCUAGGCUGAGAGCCUGAACCCAGCUCCCCCACCUCCAGUGCCCCGAUCCCACAUCCACUGCCUUUGUCCAUCCCCUGAGAAACCCCCCAACCGGGAGUGCCACUCGAGGCUUCCCAGGUCUCAUCUGAAGAUCGAUGGUGCGGCCAAGAUGUCUAAUCUGGGGAGACGUCGGAGGAGGAGGAGGAGAAGGGCAGGAGCCCUCUUUGGGGGCUGGGGAUGUGUGGAGACAGCCUGACAAUCGAGGACCCUCCUCACUUCUCGUCCGGUCCUUGCCCAGCUCUGUGGCUAUACUCACACCAUUUCACACACUGCCACGUGGCACCAUGGGUCUAUCCCCCCAUCGGCUGAGAUCCCUCUCCUCAAGAUCCAGCUCAGGUGCCGCCUCUUCCAAGAAGCCUUCCAGGCCCCCUCCCCUGGGGCUUGUUGCCGGCUCUCUGGAUCUUUGGCUCAUCCUGGCCAUCUGCGCCUCCAGCGUGCCAGAAAGCCUUUCCCAGGGCCAGCGGCACGGGCUAAGGUCUUUGUUCUCAAGGCUCCGAUGGCCACGUGUCCUCCUUGAUGGGACCAAACGCGCCAACUGCUCUGGAAGCCCUUACAGCCCCGCUCCAGGGGCUCCAAAGGGGCAAACCCCAGAGGCAGGCGGGGGCCCAGCCCGGGUCCUCUCCUACCUGGUCUCGGCCACUGCCCGCAGGGCAUCCGGGGCCGGGGGGAGGAAGAAGCCCCCUGGCAAGCCCGGCAGCGGCCCUGGGCGACGAUCCCUGAGGCCGGGGGCCGAGGAAGCCCCUGUGGCUGAGGCGCCCACCUUGCAGGCUCCCCGCGCUGAGCCCAUGGCUGGUCCCGCACCCGGGGGUGGCCGACGCUGCCCUCCUUCAGCUGAGCAGGGAGCGAAGAGCCCCGGGGAGAGGCGGCCCUCGAGUAACUGCCGAGUCCGUUCAAGGGGGGUCUGAGCCGGGCGGGCGGAGGGCAGGAGGCUGACCUCGUGAGGCCCCGAGCUGCCACGGGGUCAGCAAAGCCGGG